This 489-nucleotide long non-coding RNA is filed under the name Nilaparvata lugens (brown planthopper). RNAcentral's name for it is "uncharacterized LOC120349845". Lineage: Eukaryota; Metazoa; Arthropoda; Insecta; Hemiptera; Delphacidae. The record is from RNAcentral.
CAGUGUUGUCUGUUCUCCUUUGUUUUAUCGCGUCAUCAAGUCAUAGUUUGUUUAUUCUGCUGAUUUUUAAUUGCUGAAGUUCUUAAAUUAAGACCAAAGUGGGAAUAGAACUGCAGAUACGUAUCAUACUAAAAUCCACCAUGACAGACGAAUAUGAUGCCAACUAGUUGGAUUAGAUUUGAAAAAAAGUUCUUCUCCUUUCUACAUCUGAUGAAAGCCAUUUUCAGCAAAGGUGGGAAUAGAACUGCAGACGCAUAUACUGAAAUCCACCAUGACAGACGAAUAUGCUGCCAAACUACAGUUGGAUUGGAUUUAAAACUCCUUUCUACAUCUGAUGGAAACCAUUUUUAGACCAAGAGCAGAGAGACUAUGCCUCAUGAAGCUCAAAUCGAGGACGAUAGCAGUUCAAAGUAAAAAUAUAUAAUUAGUUAUAAAUUGAAAGUUCAAUUUUUGUAAUAUUUAAUAAAAAUCAUUGCAUUUUAUUGAAAA